This is a long non-coding RNA of Thalassophryne amazonica, 175 nucleotides long. RefSeq lists it as uncharacterized. The transcript is spliced from 3 exons. Lineage: Eukaryota; Metazoa; Chordata; Actinopteri; Batrachoidiformes; Batrachoididae. The record is from RefSeq and is a predicted model, not a curated record.
AGCAAAGAAGAAAAAUACAGAAACAGGACACUCUCCACAAACACAUUAGAAUACAUAGAGAACAAAAACAACUUGUCUGUUCUGAAUGUGGUAAAAGAUUCGGACCAAAGAGCAAGUUGAACACACACAUGAUAAUUCAUACAGGUCAAAAACAAUUUGGCUGUUCUGAAUGUGG